Molecule: ribosomal RNA, 229 nt
Filed under: uncultured bacterium
Lineage: Bacteria
Description: partial 16S ribosomal RNA
Rfam family: Bacterial small subunit ribosomal RNA
Source: RNAcentral
UACGUAGGGUGCAAGCGUUGUCCGGAAUUAUUGGGCGUAAAGAGCUCGUAGGCGGUCUGUCGCGUCUGCUGUGAAAACUCAGGGCUUAACCCUGAGCUUGCAGUGGGUACGGGCAGACUAGAGUGCGGUAGGGGAGACUGGAAUUCCUGGUGUAGCGGUGAAAUGCGCAGAUAUCAGGAGGAACACCGGUGGGCGAAGGCGGGUCUCUGGGCCGUAACUGACGCUGGAG